RNAcentral lists this ribosomal RNA (451 nucleotides) under uncultured bacterium. RNAcentral describes it as "bacterial SSU rRNA". It matches the Rfam family "Bacterial small subunit ribosomal RNA", at positions 28 to 471 of the family's 1533-position model. The record is from RNAcentral.
GAUGAACGCUAGCUACAGGCUUAACACAUGCAAGUCGAGGGGUAGCACGGAAGAAGCUUGCUUCUUUGGGUGACGACCGGCGCACGGGUGAGUAACGCGUAUCCGACCUGCCCAUGACUCGGGCACAGCCGCUCGAAAGGGCGAUUGAUUCCCGAUAUGUCUAUGAAGUAGAUUCCUGGAUGAAAGAUUUAUCGGUCAUGGAUGGGGAUGCGUAGGAUUAGCUAGAUGGUGAGGUAACGGCUCACCAUGGCUACGAUACAUAGGGGGACUGAGAGGUUAACCCCCCCACACUGGUACUGAGACACGGACCAGACUCCUACGGGAGGCAGCAGUGAGGAAUAUUGGCCGAUGGACGCAAGUCUGAACCAGCCAUGCCCGCGUGCAGGAUGACGGCUCUAUGAGUUGUAAACUGCUUUGUACAAGGGUAAACCCUGGGACGUGUCCCAGGCUG